RNAcentral lists this ribosomal RNA (494 nucleotides) under uncultured bacterium. RNAcentral describes it as "partial 16S ribosomal RNA". It matches the Rfam family "Bacterial small subunit ribosomal RNA", at positions 28 to 507 of the family's 1533-position model. The record is from RNAcentral.
GACGAACGCUGGCGGCGUGCUUAACACAUGCAAGUCGAACGGUCAAGCGCCUUCCUUUCUGGUGGGUGUGGAUGAGUGGCGAACGGGUGAGUAACACGUUAGUAACCUGCCCCCUUCUUCUGGAUAACCGCAUGAAAGUGUGGCUAAUACGGGAUAUUCUGGGUCUGUCGCAUGAUGGGUCUGGGAAAGAUUUUGUUUCGGUGGGGGAUGGGCUCGCGGCCUAUCAGCUUGUUGGUGGGGUGAUGGCCUACCAAGGCGGUGAGGGGUAGCCGGCCUGAGAGGAUCGGCGGUACUGGAGCGACGGAGAGGUGGAGACGACUACGGGAGGAGGCAGCAGGGGGGAUUCUUGAACAGUGGGAGGAAGGAUGAUGCAGCGACGCGGGGGGAGGGAUGGUGGUCUUCGGGUUAUGAACUUCUUUCGGGAGAGAAGCAGGGCGGAAGUGUCUGUGGGUGGGUUGACGGUAGCUGGACAAAAAGCCACGGCUAACUACGUG